UCCCCAGCAGUUCAGUGGUUAAAACUCAGGGGCUUUCACUGCUGUGGGCCAGGUUCAAUCCCUGGUUGGGGAG
Molecule: transfer RNA, 73 nt
Filed under: Bos taurus (domestic cattle)
Lineage: Eukaryota; Metazoa; Chordata; Mammalia; Artiodactyla; Bovidae
Also listed under: 5 other names
Rfam family: tRNA
About the family: Transfer RNA (tRNA) molecules are approximately 80 nucleotides in length. Their secondary structure includes four short double-helical elements and three loops (D, anti-codon, and T loops). Further hydrogen bonds mediate the characteristic L-shaped molecular structure. tRNAs have two regions of fundamental functional importance: the anti-codon, which is responsible for specific mRNA codon recognition, and the 3' end, to which the tRNAs corresponding amino acid is attached (by aminoacyl-tRNA synthetases). tRNAs cope with the degeneracy of the genetic code in two manners: having more than one tRNA (with a specific anti-codon) for a particular amino acid; and 'wobble' base-pairing, i.e. permitting non-standard base-pairing at the 3rd anti-codon position.
Source: Rfam by way of RNAcentral